CAAAAGCCAAGAACUUCAACCUCGAACGUCUUCGAAGCCUUAAAAUUAGGAGGUUUUUUGAGUCUCACUUGUGACUUUGACUAAAUAUAACAACUACUAUAGUCAAAGGUCAUGAAUUAUAUUCGUGUGAUUUAUAGAUUACGAGUUCAUAAUGUCAAAAUAGCUAUUAAUGUAUGUAAUAGGGUAGCUUUUCCACAUCAAUCCUUUGAGUGUGGCCCUAUCCUAGACCAUGGGGAAACAUAGAAUAUCUUAUGCACGGGGCUACUCUUUACUCUUAUAGUUAGAGGCGGAGCUAGAGCAAUAAGUACAUGUUUGGAUAAAUCUAGUAGUUUUUACUUAUACCUUGUAUUUAUAAAAUUCACUAAAUAUGUAUUACUUCUGCAAGUGCAGAAGGGAUUUAGGGGAAAGCCAAGACAGGCCGAUGGUCAUACCCAACAAUUGGAAGUGCUGGCACACCCUGUCCAGCCUGUUAUCCACAUUGUUUGGGAGUUAGGACCCUUUAAAGGAUCAAGCACAUACGUGAACAAUAAUUUGGAUGCUCCAUGCCUGAACCUUAACUCAAACACAUAGAGGGUAAUUUGGGUAUAGGGAUUCAUGGCAGAAAACAGAUGCAAAGAGAACAACAUAUAUAUUUAACACUGAGCAUAGACAGCAAAGUAGAUAAGAUUGUAGAAGCUUUAAUAUAAACACAUCGGGAUGAGGCUGAAAACUAAAUUAGAACAUACCAGUUUCUGGGAAACAAGAAAAGAAAAGCAGUAGUCUUGUAAAACCAAAUUACAAGCAAAUAGUCAGAAUAUCCCAAAAGAGAGUAGAGUGUUGAGUGAGUAUUGAACUCAAGUUGUCUUAAAAGUGUAGAAGGGCCGUGCCCUUUAUAGAGUAGAAAGAAAGUAAGAAAAAUGUAAGAAAAAUAGUUUUGGAAUCAAUUACAUAAGGUCUCCCUUUAAUUAAGGAAUUCUAAUUUCAAACGGGCAGAAUAAAAAGAAUUUGUUCAAAAUCGUUUCCAAAGGAGUACAAGAAAGGCAAAUACAUAGAAACUAUUAAAAGAAAGAGUUUGAUAACAACAUGGUUUAUGCAAAUAAGGAAAGACAAUCAAUGAACAACCAGUAAAAUCAGAAAUUGAGUUUUGGUAUGAAUGAAUCCAACAAGAAAAGGUGAAGAAAUGUUUAAUUAAAAAAAUCAGUAACAAUCAAUCGAACCUUAUUAAGAGGAAUUCUGAGCAAUCACAAUUUGGCAAAACCUUUUUUGAUGGGAAGAUUCCUAAUAUAUAAAGCAUAUAGACAUGUCAAACAAGAAAGAAUUGUCAUGCUAAUUAGAAAAGUGUCUACAAUAGAGAAGCUCAGAGCCAUGAAAAAGAGCUCAAAUUCAAUACAUAGACUCAAGCUUAGUUUGAGAGAAUCCAGGUUCCAAAAUGGAACCCCUGUCCACACACAAGAUCAAACUCGCGAAAAAACCCCAAACCCUAGGGUUUCCAACUUGAAUCAGACACAUAGAUGAGGAGGCAAGCAAUUGAAUCAGGCUCGGAGGUCUCUUUCAGAGACUUAUGAGAAAACAAAUAGAUGUAAUAGCAGGUUUGAAACGACAAAGUGAGAAAGCUGAUUUGAAGCAUAAAGAACAUGUUUUAAGAAAAGCUUGGAACUUAAGCAAGUUAAGAAGAGAAAAGAGGUGAUAUAAACUUAAGAAACAGUAGAUGAAACAUGUUUAGAACUCAAACAAAGGUCCAGUAAAGAAAAACUAAGGACUAAAAGCUUAAUAGAAAAAUACAGUAAAGGAACACAUAAGAUAGACGUGUGAAAACAUGAUAUAGAAAUCCGUAGGAGAAAGAACGGAGCACAAUAAAAGAACAUGCAUAAUACGGCAAACAUAAGAACACAGGAGAAGAACAUGCGAGGUAGAAAAGAGAACAUAAGAACAUAGCAUCAGAUUCACACAAAGAAAAGAAGAAGAGCUAGAAAACAUUUUAAAACUUUUUCAAAAACCCUAAAUCGAAGAGAAACAAAUUUUGAAAGAAAAGAUUGGGGAAAACGUUUAAAAACUCUUGUAGAACACAUAUAUAACAUAGAUCUAAGAAAACAACCAGAGAAAAACCUCGAAUAGCCCUGGAAGAAAGUCCGAUCUUGAGUGUGAUGAGUUAAAAUCAAGCCCCUGAUGCUUUAGAUGUUCCAGAGCAAGACCGGAAAGGCCUAAAAAUGAUGGAUCUGAGAAAAUCUAAAAGAAAAACAUCAAGGUCAGACCUCGAAACUUCAAACACCCAGGGUUUAAUAGUGAAGGGAGGUGAAUACAGGCCAUCCAUGGCUUGAGAAGCCAUGGAUUCUGGUGAGGUUAGGGUCAGAGAGGAUGAGAAAGGAUAGGGAUCCAGGGAACCUUCGAGAGAGUUUGAGAGAGGAGAGUAUUCAAAGGCGGC
This 2401-nucleotide long non-coding RNA is filed under the name Nicotiana benthamiana. RNAcentral describes it as "long non-coding RNA (NBEN_LNC015771)". The record is from RNAcentral. Lineage: Eukaryota; Viridiplantae; Streptophyta; Magnoliopsida; Solanales; Solanaceae.